RNAcentral lists this ribosomal RNA (468 nucleotides) under uncultured bacterium. Its description in RNAcentral is "partial 16S ribosomal RNA". It matches the Rfam family "Bacterial small subunit ribosomal RNA", at positions 28 to 507 of the family's 1533-position model. The record is from RNAcentral.
GACGAACGCUGGCGGCGUGCUUAACACAUGCAAGUCGAACGGAAAGGCCCUGCUUUUGUGGGGUGCUCGAGUGGCGAACGGGUGAGUAACACGUGAGUAACCUGCCCUUGACUUUGGGAUAACUUCAGGAAACUGGGGCUAAUACCGGAUAGGAGCUCCUGCUGCAUGGUGGGGGUUGGAAAGUUUCGGCGGUUGGGGAUGGACUCGCGGCUUAUCGGCUUGUUGGUGGGGUAGUGGCUUACCAAGGCUUUGACGGGUAGCCGGCCUGAGAGGGUGACCGGCCGCAUUGGGACUGAGAUACGGCCCAGACUCCUACGGGAGGCAGCAGUGGGGAAUAUUGCACAAUGGGCGGAAGCCUGAUGCAGCAACGCCGCGUGCGGGAUGACGGCCUUCGGGUUGUAAACCGCUUUCGCCUGUGACGAAGCGUGAGUGACGGUAAUGGGUAAAGAAGCACCGGCUAACUACGUG